RNAcentral lists this ribosomal RNA (497 nucleotides) under uncultured bacterium. Its description in RNAcentral is "partial 16S ribosomal RNA". It matches the Rfam family "Bacterial small subunit ribosomal RNA", at positions 28 to 507 of the family's 1533-position model. The record is from RNAcentral.
GAUGAACGCUGGCGGCGUGCCUAAUACAUGCAAGUCGAGCGAACAGAUGAGGAUCUUGCUCCUCUGACGUUAGCGGCGGACGGGUGAGUAACACGUGUAUAACCUACCUAUAAGACUGGGAUCACUUCAGGAAACCGGGUCUAAUACCGGAUAAUAUAUUGAACCGCAUGGUUCAAUAGUGAAAGACGGUUUUGCUGUCACUUAUAGAUGUAUCCGCGCCGCAUUAGCUAGUUGGUAAGGUAACGGCUUACCAAGGCAACGAUGCGUAGCCGACCUGAGAGGGUGAUCGGCCACACUGGAACUGAGACACGGUCCAGACUCCUACGGGAGGCAGCAGUAGGGAAUCUUCCGCAAUGGGCGAAAGCCUGACGGAGCAACGCCGCGUGAGUGAUGAAGGUCUUCGGAUCGUAAAACUCUGUUAUUAGGGAAGAACAAAUGUGUAAGUAACUAUGCACGUCUUGACGGUACCUACUCAGAAAGCCACGGCUAACUACGUG